RNAcentral lists this ribosomal RNA (480 nucleotides) under uncultured bacterium. RNAcentral's name for it is "bacterial SSU rRNA". It matches the Rfam family "Bacterial small subunit ribosomal RNA", at positions 29 to 506 of the family's 1533-position model. The record is from RNAcentral.
UUGAACGCUGGCGGAAUGCUUUACACAUGCAAGUCGAGCGGCAGCGCGGGGCAACCUGGCGGCGAGCGGCGAACGGGUGAGUAACGUAUCGGAACGUACCUAUUUGUGGGGGAUAACGCAGCGAAAGUUGUGCUAAUACCGCAUAAGUCCUGAGGGAGAAAGCUGGGGAUCGCAAGACCUAGCGCGAAUAGAGCGGCCGAUAUCUGAUUAGCUAGUUGGUAGGGUAAAGGCCUACCAAGGCGACGAUCAGUAGCUGGUCUGAGAGGACGACCAGCCACACUGGGACUGAGACACGGCCCAGACUCCUACGGGAGGCAGCAGUGGGGAAUUUUGGACAAUGGGGGGAACCCUGAUCCAGCCAUUCCGCGUGAGUGAAGAAGGCCUUCGGGUUGUAAAGCUCUUUCGGCAGGGAAGAAAAGGCGGGCUCUAACAUAGCCUGUUCAUGACGGUACCUGAAGAAGAAGCACCGGCUAACUACGU